This is a long non-coding RNA of Papilio xuthus (Asian swallowtail), 427 nucleotides long. RefSeq lists it as uncharacterized. The transcript is spliced from 2 exons. The record is from RefSeq and is a predicted model, not a curated record. Lineage: Eukaryota; Metazoa; Arthropoda; Insecta; Lepidoptera; Papilionidae.
CAAAGUUGACACUUCACAAUAGUUGAAAAGUGUCAAUCAAUCAAUGUUACUAAACUAAAAUAAAAUACUGAAAACAUGGGAAAGCAAUUUGGAAAUUUGGCUUUUAUACGAGGAAUACUUUAUUUUCGACUAUCACCUUAUGAACAAAGAGCGUACGCUGGAGUCUUAACUAAAGGAUUACCAAACUUGGUUCCGAGGACGUUGAUGACUUUACCCUUUUGGAUGCCACCGUUUGCUUUUGGUGCAUUAAUAUACUUCUACGUGGACGAUUUACAUCGUCGGUCGAAACGCAAAAAUCCAAAAGAUUACAUCGACGAGGUGAACCCCAACCCGCCGCCGCCGCCGCCUCCGCCACCCGUUACCAAAUGCUAACUAUUCGCUGCAUAAAUGUUAUUUAUGAUGUUAAUAUAUUAGAUAUUAAAAAAUA